This 75-nucleotide transfer RNA is filed under the name Rossellomorea marisflavi. Its description in RNAcentral is "Bacillus marisflavi tRNA-Asn". It matches the Rfam family "tRNA". From Rfam's summary of the family: Transfer RNA (tRNA) molecules are approximately 80 nucleotides in length. Lineage: Bacteria; Bacillati; Bacillota; Bacilli; Caryophanales; Bacillaceae. RNAcentral also lists the same sequence under 5 other names. The record is from RNAcentral.
UCCGCAGUAGCUCAGUGGUAGAGCUAUCGGCUGUUAACCGAUCGGUCGCAAGUUCGAGUCUUGCCUGCGGAGCCA